CACUUGAACUCCAAUAUCAUGCUGCUGUCCAAACUGGAUUUUUUUGCAAGUGAUCUGUGGCAAGACUGGCACCAAUUUCCAGUGUUGCUGAGACCUACGCUCACACUCAUCCUCCUCUUAAGACUCUGGAUGUCAAAAUGUGGACCAAAGCAGCUCUAGAAAAUCACAUGCAGCAGUUGGAAAAAUGCUGUUCUAGAUUUUUCAGCUAGAUACUGGUGCAAAAAAGCCAUAGUCGAGAAAAAGACUAUGUACUUCUGUUUUUCAUCUGAAAACCCAAACAACAAAAUCCUUGACAAUAUUUCACAGCCUGUUUCUUCAGCAUGUAAUUCUGAUGCGUAGAAAUGAUAGCCUUGUAUCAAAUAGAUCGUUAAUGUAUGUGUAGUUUAUAAAGUGCUAAAUACUGUGUAUUCAUUCACUAACUUAAAAAAAUCACCUGAUAGAAGAAUAUCUUAAACUUCCUAAACAGUUUUAGAAAUGCUUAUCUUCAGACAGCCAUAUUCUAUGGUGUCCGUUGUCCUCUUGGGCUUCUACAGCUAUAACAGCAGGUACAAAGAAAAGGAUUUUAGUGGCAAUAUGUGGGUUGCAAGUUACAUAUGCUCGUUAGAAGUGUGGUGUCUUGGGCACUCAUGGAGAAAUGACUAAAAUAAUUUAUUUUUAUUUCACAUCUGUAAGUAGAAGUGGGAGUACAAUUUUCUUUUUAAUCAAGUCUCUUUCUUGUAUUUAUAUACACUAUGUAAUUAGCUGAAAGAAAUGGGUAUUUUACUAGUCAGGGAUCUGAAUGGCAUUUAUUUCAGUUGCUGUGUCUGUGGACCCCAUAAAUCUUGGUACUCCUAGUUGACAUGUCCCAUCUGACAUGUCCAUGUCCUGGCCCUCCCCAAAUAAAUUGCCUCGCCUGUAUGUUGGGAACGUACAAUACACUGUAGCAAAGCAAGACAUACAGAAUCAUAAUGGAGGAGGCAAUAAAGCCAAUCAAACUAUGCACAGUGCCUGCUCAGCUGUGCCUGUACUAGCAAAUGAGAAUGAGAAGGUUCUCUUCCAGAGAAGAAAAAGAAGUAUUUUAGAUGUGGCUUUUGAUCAUUGUAGUUCUGAAGAGUGUGUCAGACCUAAACCAGGUAAUCUUGCAGUAAAGGGAAGCUCAUCCUUGAAGGUCAUUAUUUCCUAG
RNAcentral lists this long non-coding RNA (1162 nucleotides) under Anser brachyrhynchus (Pink-footed goose). Its description in RNAcentral is "lncRNA (ENSABRG00000020113.1)". Lineage: Eukaryota; Metazoa; Chordata; Aves; Anseriformes; Anatidae. The record is from RNAcentral.